RNAcentral lists this ribosomal RNA (501 nucleotides) under uncultured bacterium. RNAcentral's name for it is "partial 16S ribosomal RNA". It matches the Rfam family "Bacterial small subunit ribosomal RNA", at positions 30 to 523 of the family's 1533-position model. The record is from RNAcentral.
AUUGAACGCUGGCGGCAGGCUUAACACAUGCAAGUCGAGCGGGGGAAGGUAGCUUGCUACCGGACCUAGCGGCGGACGGGUGAGUAAUGCUUAGGAAUCGGCCUAUUAGUGGGGGACAACAUCUCGAAAGGGAUGCUAAUACCGCAUACGUCCUACGGGAGAAAGCAGGGGAUCUUCGGACCUUGCGCUAAUAGAUGAGCCUAGGUCGGAUUAGCUAGUUGGUGGGGUAAAGGCCUACCAAGGCGACGAUCUGUAGCGGGUCUGAGAGGAUGAUCCGCCCCACUGGGACUGAGACACGGCCCAGACUCCUACGGGAGGCAGCAGUGGGGAAUAUUGGACAAUGGGGGGAACCCUGAUCCAGCCAUGCCGCGUGUGUGAAGAAGGCCUUAUGGUUGUAAAGCACUUUAAGCGAGGAGGAGGCUACUCUAGUUAAUACCUAGGGAUAGUGGACGUUACUCGCAGAAUAAGCACCGGCUAACUCUGUGCCAGCCGCCGCCGUAA